RNAcentral lists this unclassified non-coding RNA (21 nucleotides) under Mus musculus (house mouse). RNAcentral's name for it is "oocyte_clustered_small_RNA6802". The record is from RNAcentral. Lineage: Eukaryota; Metazoa; Chordata; Mammalia; Rodentia; Muridae.
UGCAGAUCAGUCAGAAACAUC